AGCAGCCGCGGUAAUUCCAGCUCCAAUAGCGUAUAUUAAAGUUGUUGCAGUUAAAAAAGCUCGUAGUUGAAUUUUGGGUCUGGCCGGGCGGUCCGCCCUCUGGGUGAGCACUGUUCCGACGCCGGGCCUAUCCUUCUGGUGAGACGGCAUGUCCUUUGUUGGGUGUGUCGGGGAACCAGGACCAUUACCUUGAAAAAAAUUAGAGUGUUCAAAGCAGGCGUAUGCUCGGAUACAUUAGCAUGGAAUAAUGAAAUAGGACGCGUGGUGCUAUUUUGUUGGUUUCUAGAACCGCCGUAAUGAUUAAUAGGGAUAGUUGGGGGCAUUAGUAUUCAAUUGUCAGAGGUGAAAUUCUUGGAUUUAUUGAAGACUAACUUCUGCGAAAGCAUUUGCCAAGGAUGUUUU
This 402-nucleotide ribosomal RNA is filed under the name uncultured Ambispora. Its description in RNAcentral is "SSU rRNA". It matches the Rfam family "Eukaryotic small subunit ribosomal RNA", at positions 569 to 970 of the family's 1831-position model. The record is from RNAcentral. Lineage: Eukaryota; Fungi; Glomeromycota; Glomeromycetes; Archaeosporales; Ambisporaceae.